UAUGAGGUGGUCGAAAUUUUAGUCGGUAGAUUGUAAAUCUAUUUAUGAGUAUAUUACUUUCUCAU
This 65-nucleotide transfer RNA is filed under the name Octopus mimus. RNAcentral describes it as "tRNA-Tyr". The record is from RNAcentral. Lineage: Eukaryota; Metazoa; Mollusca; Cephalopoda; Octopoda; Octopodidae.